GCAUGAGUAGCAAAAGCCAUCCCAGAGCUGGAAGUGAGACUGACACCAGAACCGGGCUCCUGGUUACCUGGGGCUGGGCUCGCACAGCCAGAUUUUUGGCAGCCUUCUCUGCUCAGAGCAGAAGCAGGGCCUGGGCCUGUUGGCCUUCUACUUCAAGAUGCGUCCCAUCCCAGGUCCCAUCCCAAGCAGCAGGUCCAAGAAAAGAACGUACAACUGUAUGUGAAAAUCCCAAAGCCGCAAUAACUACCCUGUCCACAUCUGUUUUAUCUCACUUCAUCCUCAUACCCAGGAAACCCAGGCAGAGACCCAUACGUGCUUAAGGUCAUACAGGUGGCAGAGUUGGGACUUGAACCCGAGUCUUUGCUAACUCCCGGAAGUAAAGCAGAAAAAAAUGGAUUUGCAAACUGCAACAGGCAGGUUCCCAGAAGCGAUAGGCGGGGAUGCAUGGCCCAGCGGCUACUGCAGCAUUAAUUGCCCGCGGCGUCCUCCAGAACAGGCUCCUGGCUUCCCUGAGAUCCCGGGGAAGGUCGGGCAGCGAGGCCAUUAAGGAAGGCCAUAAAUUUGUCAUGAAGGCCUGGAAAUGAGCGGGGCUUAUCAUUUAUGUAUGGAAUAAUUAAGCCACCAUGCUCAGCAGUUCACCAAGGCCUGUGCCCGGACGCCAGGCAUCACCAGCUGCUGAGCUGGGGACCAGUUUGGGGUCUUCACUGUCGCAUUCCCUGCCCAACAGCAUGUCAAAACCCAAGCCUUGGGCAUGCAGACUCCACCAGCACCAGAGCAGGUGCCUGCAGAUGGCCCCGCCCUCAUGAUGUCAUACCAGCCCUGGCCAAUCCCAGGGAGGCCUCUCUCGAAGCUCGGCCCAUGGGGGGGUGCCCAGCCCCUUAGAUGGAGGUGGUGGGCCUGGCUUCUCUCCUUGGGCACUUCUCAAAUGGUAGAAAGUGCGAGAAAUCUGGACUGCCUUGGGUUCAAAUCUUGACUCUCACAGUCCAGCUGUGUGUUUCUGGGCUAGCCAUUUAACUUCUCUGAGUCUUAGUUUUCUCCUCUUGAAAAUGGCCAAAAUAAUAUUUUUU
Non-coding RNA from Vicugna pacos (alpaca), 1067 nucleotides. The record is from RefSeq and is a predicted model, not a curated record. NCBI's taxonomy places the organism in Eukaryota, Metazoa, Chordata, Mammalia, Artiodactyla, Camelidae.